This is an RNA transcript of Glycine soja, 860 nucleotides long. It is a transcript of the gene named ATP-dependent DNA helicase 2 subunit KU70-like, with no coding region annotated. Lineage: Eukaryota; Viridiplantae; Streptophyta; Magnoliopsida; Fabales; Fabaceae. The record is from RefSeq and is a predicted model, not a curated record. The transcript has 4 exons.
AUUAGAGGUAUGUUAUGGGCCAGGCCCAAAUAGGUGGAUACUAUGGUAGAGGGGAGGCAUUCCGAUUAGUAAACCUUGUGGGGAUAAAGAAGUGGCUUUGUCAUAAAAGGGGAAACCCUUUGGAGGAGAGAUUAUCCCCUAUUUUAGUUAAUAAAAUUGUUCUUUUCCUUCUUUUCAAUUUCUGAAUUCCUAACAGUCCUUGCAGAGACACUAUGCAGUAUUGCAGGCAUUGGCACUGGAAGAGGAUGAUAUUCCAGAAAUGAAAGAUGAAACAUUACCUGACGAGGAAGGUUUAGCCAGACCAGCAGUGGUAAGGGCAUUAGAAGAAUUCAAAACCUCUGUAUAUGGGGAUAAUUAUGAAGAGGAAAAUAAGCCUGGCACUGGGAAGCCUACUGAAGCCUCCAAGAAACAAAAAGCAAUUGCUGAGUUUGCAACAAAAGAGUGUGAAAACUAUGACUGAUGUGACCUCGCUGAUACUGGAAAGUUAAAGGACUUGACUGUGGUGGAGUUAAAAUAUUAUCUUACAGCACAUAAUCUUCCUGUUUCUGGGAAGAAGGAGGCCAUAAUUAGCCGAAUAUUAACUCACAUGGGAAAAUGAGCAAGGGGCUGACGUUUUAUUAAUGAUUUUGUAACCUCGAUAAGUAGAAUGCAAGACUCCUCCUAGCCACCAGAGCUGCUAAAUUGAUGCUUUGGUAUACUAUUGUUGACCCGGUUUGGAUAAAAGACUGUUUUGUACUUGACUGAUCAACAUGGCAGUAGGGUACGUAAUAGCAUAUUUUACUGGUAGAAGACAUAUCUUAUUAGACCUCCAACCACAAAGUAACACAUCUUAUUUUGCAAAAUGUAAAGUUAUUUAUAUC